CGUUGAGGGUUGCUGACUGAAGGCCACCCUGACUGCUGAGGGCUGCCUGCACCUUGUCACUCUGUUUGGUCAUCAAAGCCAUCAAGGGUCCUGGGCAUGUUAGACAAGACCACAAGACCCAUCUGUCAUGGCAUCUUGUUCCGCCAGUGGGCUGGCGAUGAUGGCUGCAUCCUAGGGGCGUGGCUUCAGGCUACUCUCCAGGCUGCUAGACAGACCGGAAAUCCCAGACCCCUGGCACAGGAGGACAGGAAAGUCCAGGGACAGCCUGAGCAAUCAAGCGUGACUCUGUCUCAAAAAUAAAAAAUAAGAAAUAAAAAGAUGGCUAGGACUAUAGCUUC
Mesocricetus auratus (golden hamster) is the source of this 338-nucleotide long non-coding RNA. RefSeq lists it as uncharacterized. NCBI's taxonomy places the organism in Eukaryota, Metazoa, Chordata, Mammalia, Rodentia, Cricetidae. The record is from RefSeq and is a predicted model, not a curated record. The transcript has 3 exons.